RNAcentral lists this ribosomal RNA (553 nucleotides) under Micrococcus antarcticus. RNAcentral's name for it is "bacterial SSU rRNA". It matches the Rfam family "Bacterial small subunit ribosomal RNA", at positions 80 to 648 of the family's 1533-position model. The record is from RNAcentral. Lineage: Bacteria; Bacillati; Actinomycetota; Actinomycetes; Micrococcales; Micrococcaceae.
UUGCUGGGUGGAUUAGUGGCGAACGGGUGAGUAACACGUGAGUAACCUGCCCUUGACUCUAGGAUAAGCCCGGGAAACUGGGUCUAAUACUGGAUAGGAACGUCUACCGCAUGGUGGAUGUUGGAAAGAAUUUCGGUCAUGGAUGGACUCGCGGCCUAUCAGCUUGUUGGUGAGGUAAUGGCUCACCAAGGCGACGACGGGUAGCCGGCCUGAGAGGGUGACCGGCCACACUGGGACUGAGACACGGCCCAGACUCCUACGGGAGGCAGCAGUGGGGAAUAUUGCACAAUGGGCGAAAGCCUGAUGCAGCGACGCCGCGUGAGGGAUGACGGCCUUCGGGUUGUAAACCUCUUUCAGUAGGGAAGAAGCGAAAGUGACGGUACCUGCAGAAGAAGCACCGGCUAACUACGUGCCAGCAGCCGCGGUAAUACGUAGGGUGCGAGCGUUAUCCGGAAUUAUUGGGCGUAAAGAGCUCGUAGGCGGUUUGUCGCGUCUGUCGUGAAAGUCCGGGGCUUAACCCCGGAUCUGCGGUGGGUACGGGCAGACUAGAGUG